AUUGAACACUGGCGGCAUGCUUUACACAUGCAAGUCGAGCGGCAGCGCGGGGGGCAACCCUGGCGGCGAGCGGCGAACGGGUGAGUAAUGCAUCGGAACGUACCCUGGAGUGGGGGAUAACGCCGCGAAAGCGGCGCUAAUACCGCAUAUGCUCUGAGGAGGAAAGUGGGGGACCGCAAGGCCUCACGCUCUGGGAGCGGCCGAUGUCCGAUUAGCUAGUUGGUGACGGUAAAGGCUUACCAAGGCGACGAUCGGUAGCUGGUCUGAGAGGAUGAUCAGCCACACUGGGACUGAGACACGGCCCAGACUCCUACGGGAGGCAGCAGUGGGGAAUUUUGGACAAUGGGGGCAACCCUGAUCCAGCCAUGCCGCGUGAGUGAAGAAGGCCUCGGUUGGUAAGUACGUACUUUUGGUUCGGGUAAGGAAAGGUAGACC
Molecule: ribosomal RNA, 435 nt
Filed under: uncultured bacterium
Lineage: Bacteria
Description: bacterial SSU rRNA
Rfam family: Bacterial small subunit ribosomal RNA
Source: RNAcentral